Molecule: long non-coding RNA, 4906 nt
Organism: Alligator mississippiensis (American alligator)
Lineage: Eukaryota; Metazoa; Chordata; Crocodylia; Alligatoridae
Exons: 3
Source: RefSeq, a predicted model, not a curated record
GCCUUGGGUUGCUAUGGAAACCUUCCUGAAAGCAGCCAUCUGGGACCUGGCAGAGAGAAAGACACUCAGCCUUGCUGCUGGCCUGCGAGUGCCAGGGGUAUGCAAAAGGACAGGGUGGGGGUGGAGGAAUCACAUCAGGAAGGCAGGUCACACACUGCCUAGACGCAGGAGCCAAGGCAGAUGUCAUCUACCUGGACUUUAAGAAGGCCUUCGAGACAGUUUUGCAUCCUAUUCUCAUAAGAAAUCUAGCAAGCUGUGGAGUGGAUGCUUACACAGUCAGGAAACGCCUCCAUAAGCUUUACAACCUAACCAGCCUAGCAAUGUUUUGAGUGUCUGCAACCAGAGUGGAAGGACCAGAAUGAAGCAAUUAUGGUGGACUAACAAUCUGGUUUCCUGUCUCUGAUGACCACACAAUUUAGCACAAAAGUUAAAAGAGUAUAAACCUCUUCCAUCUCACUACCUCCCACGCAGCAGGUCAGACAUUACAAAAAGCCAUUGCUGAUUUGGCAGUUGUGGCUUAGAAGGGACAUGAACAAGAUGGCAGAAGCUGGGCCAGGUUGGAAUUGGGGUGCCUUGGCAUAGCUCUGGGUGAAUGGGCUAGCAGGCUCAGAGGAUCGUGAUUCACUCACAAUAUUUUGUUGGAAACUAACUGGUAAAGAGAAUACUCAAUACUCAGAGUGUCUAAAAUCCCUGACAUUGUGAAUUGGGGAGAGAAGGAGAGGGAAAGGGGGAGGAGGGGGCAGAAUGUGUGUACACAUGCAUGCACUAGAAGGAUAAGGAAGAAGAGAGAACAAGUCAAAAGGUGUCCCCAUCUCCUGCUACACCUCCCUACCACUCCAACCUAGAGCUGGCAGAAUGAGUCAGAGCCUAGCGCUCAAAAGCAGUGAAAAGCAAACAAACUCCUCAGCACCCCACAACUGGGCUGACAAUGAUACUUCUGGAGACACAGGCUGAAGGCUUCAAUAUCCCCUUCCCCUCCAUUAAAUACCAGUGAAAAGAAUCCAACUAAAAUAUUGCAUUUCAUAACUGUUGGCUAUGGAGUCUCUGAACACCUCCUCUCUCAGUGGUGGUAUAUCCAGCUUCUCCAUAGUCAGCAAACUUCUUUCCACCCAUAAAGCAUCACUGUACCACACAGCACUUUUGUGGAACUUUGCAAACUGAACCCCCUACAGAUAAUGAAACCUAAGAGCACCCGCUCAGAGAUAAAUAUUAUUACCCUCCUUACACAAAUGGGAGACCCUGAUGCAGGGGCUAAGGGGCUGCUCUACUCUGAGGAGCAUUCUGUAGCACUGGCAUUGUAGAACCAGCAUUCAUCUUUGCUGAAUAGCUUCCAGAUCUAGCAAACUCAGAUUCUCAUAUUUCUCUCCUCCUCAACUUGCCCUGAGACCAGAGUCAAGCUGGGUCCUCUCCUAUUCAUCCACAGUUUCCAGCAGGAAAAGCUCUACAGGUCAAACUGUGGUCUCAGCGAAACCUGUGCCUUCUCAGCGCCUGUGACAGGUUCACACAGGUUUAACGGACCUUUAAUUCUUUUGAGGACAUCCAAAGACAGACUAGAUUCCACAUCACAUUCUCACAGCAGCGUUGGCUCUUCUGGGCUAACAGAAGCAAAAGGCAGUACUAGGAUCAGCAGAUGCAACAGAGUGAACAAAGGACUAACUUGCUAAGUACCCCUGGUUGAGUAGCAUACCAUUUGAGGCUGGGAUUCAGAUUCCUUCUUUCAGACCUUUCCUUUUCUAAAGCCAGACCUGACACCUCCAAAGUUUAAAGGCUACCACCCCCUAAGACCAUCCUUGAAGGAUCUGUUGGAAAUGCUACUGUCUAAAGUCUACCAUUUUGGAUCCAGAUGCUGGGAAAAAAAAAAAAGAAUUACACAUGCAAGUAACUUAACUUGCAUAUUUUUAAAGCAGCUGGAAAGUAUUAGGACCAUUAAUAACUACCAGGGUACAAGAGAUGAAUGGCACAAGACCAAUUAAUUUCAUGCUGGGGGGAAUCAGAAAGAAUUUUCUUCUUCCCUAGUACAAUCAUCCUGUUACAGUAUGGGAGCUCUCCUCUUGUCCUCUACCCAUUUCCAAAACAGACACUCACCUGAUUAGCCCAGCAAUUAGAGCUGCUGGUGAUACAAUUGGUGUGAUCUCACAAGCUGGCAAGCUAGCAGCCUGGCAUGAUGGGGUCUCUUGUUCACAAGCCAAAUUUUCACUUUUCCUAAGGGGACAUUUAAUGUUGUGCUGUAAAUAGCCAGAUCCCCGUGCUACCAGCAGCACCUGUUGUGUUCCCUCUCAGAUGCAGAAGAGCCACUUGCCCAGAAACACAAGCAUGAGGUGGAACCAACAUCCCCCUCCUUCCCUGCCUGGCGAUGGCAACAGUGUAGCUGGCAACAAAAUUAAGGAACAAGUAUCAUCCCUCAGUAGGUGGUUCCCCCUAGCUACUAGCAAGACCAGCUAAUGCAGAGUUUUUAGCUGCUCCCACAGAAGGCAGCAGGAAGAGUGGGUGUUUAAAUAGAAACAGGUGCUGAUAUUGUUGAGGCCAGAGCUUUCGGAUCAAGACUCCCGCAUCUCUCCAGGGGUAUUGAGAGAUGCAGGAUUUGUUAUAUCUGAUCAAAUCAUUUGUCUACCUCAGUGGUUCUCAAUUUUUUUUUCAGGCACUUUUAAAGUUUGUUAUUUUGUUGUGUACCUCAACAAGCCACAGAAAACUGUGUACCUGUGUAGCUCACUACAACCACAGAAACCUCUCCAGCAUCCUGAGAGAGACACAUACAGUACAGCUGUUCGUCAUGUUUACUUUAUCUCCUUUUUCCUCCAUUUCUAUUUUCCCUUUCUCCGUCCUUCUCUGUUACUCUCCAGAAGUUCACAACACACCCUCAGAGGGUGCGUCUACAAAUUCAUUAAUGUGCCAUAAUUACUGUACAUUAAGUUUGGUACUUGUAUAACCAAGUAGAAAUCAAAUGUGCAGUAGCGCCAGUGCAUGGCUUUUUUAGUGAUGCUAACUGUACAGUAGCCUAGUACUACUGCGCAGUAGCAUAUGAGCAUGGUUUUUGCCCUGCAUGCUACUGUGCAGUAGAAUUAGGCUACUGCACAGUUAAUAUCUCAUGUAGAUGCACCCCGUGAUACACAUGCCCCAGUUUGAGAGGUAUCCAUUCACCUCAUCAGCUAUCCCAGUCUAACAGAAACCAGCUCUGAACAUUUUCAAGGAGAAUAUAAAUUCUCCACAAGCCACUGAACAAUUCUUAAUUCUAAAUUGGUGACUUACAGGUGCCCAAGGUUGAGAUAUACAUCUCUUAUAAACAUCAUCUCAGCUUUGACACAGCAGAUGCUGUUCACGUUUAAUUUAGUCAAAUAUGUUUCUGAAUCUUUUUUUUAAACCUCCCGUGAUUUGGUGAGAAGUGCCAGAUUAGCAGCCUUGGAAAUGGAAACCUAUUUAUUUCCAGAGCAGGUUUCAACCCAGAGCAUCAGAGACUUGCUCCCUGACCUCUGCUGAGAGAACCAACACAAGGCAAUUGUCACAGUGGUUUUACGAUGUAGACAUCAGUCCACAGAGCUGGACCAAGACCAGCAGCUCAUUCCACUCAAACCAUUGAAGAGUCAUCAUCAUCAGAAUGCAGCAAUUUCAGUUGCUACCAACCCAGCCAGGACUGAAAACAUUGGCUUUCAUACUCUGACUAUUGCCUAUUCUCCAAAUCACACCAUCUAUUUGAAUUUUGCCGUUUGGUAAGGUACUGUCCUGCUGCAGGAUAUCCAAAAGUUAAGUAUAUACCACCCACACCUACCAACAGCAGCAGCAUCUGGAGGCAAGAGGUCCUGAAAUGAGUGUUGUUUGAUCACAAACACAUACAUAAUAAUUCCUCUAUGUUGCUAUUACUACUGUUAACUACGUACUUCAUCAUCGCCCUUCCAAAACAUGGCUUCUUUAAUGGAAAGGAGAGGACAGUGUCUAUAGAACAUCCCUUAUGGACCAGCACAGAGCUGUGCCCCUCCCCCAUGCUCUCAUCAUGUCCCCCUGCUCCCCAAAGGCAGUCAUUUCACAAGUGAUGUCACCUGGCAUUAAGGAGGCACAAAACCCAGUCCUGACUAGGAUGGGGAAAGGUGGCAACAGUUUAUAUAUUCUAUCAUUUUUCAAACAAAGUUAACUUAACCUUGCAUUAGCAGGGCAGGGCCAAUCACUAUGCUGGCCAUCCUAAUUACAUGUUAUACCUCUACCCUGUAUGCCUUCAGACUGUAAAUUCCCAGAAGAAGGACUAGUCGAUAAGCCCUCUUGUCUGUUUGGGAACACUACAGAGAAUAAAUAAGAAGUUAAUCCUCUUUCCGGUACCAGAGACCUGUUCUCUCUGGUCUCUGCGGCAACCCAAAGACUGCCUGGAAUCCAGAUUAUCCAGCAAGCAGCAGCGGUCCAUUGUUUCUUUCUGGGCUGGAAGGUGCUCCUAGUGAUCUCAAGAUUCAGCCACCAUACAAUGUCAUGUCUGCUGCUUGCAAGUGCCUUGGUUUGUUCUCAUUUGUUAUCUUUUUUUAAAAGCAAAGGAUGCUUGAUUUCUUCAAGAGACACUUCCUGCUUUACUCUUCUUAAGACAUUGCAUGUAACAAGGUAUCCUGAGGAUGACUAUGAUUUCACAAUGUGGGGACCUAUGACAACAUCUAAAGAAAAACUAAGUUGGUGUUGACAUCCACAGCAAAAAAGCAACUCCUGCAAUUCAAUCAUCCCCUAAAGCAUUACGGGAGGAGAAUAUAAAUACGAAAGGAAAAACAUUUCCCUUUUCCGCCCCCCAUCUGACCUUGGCGGCUCUGUAAGCAAUUUCUGAUAGAGCAGGGCCCCAAAACCACUCCCUGCAAAGAGAUUAGGCCUCAUUCACCCUGUUGGUUCUCCCCUUCUCUGCAUUCAUAUCGUCCUGCAUAAUAAACUGUUGCAUAAGUCCCCA